Molecule: long non-coding RNA, 1983 nt
Organism: Mytilus californianus (California mussel)
Lineage: Eukaryota; Metazoa; Mollusca; Bivalvia; Mytilida; Mytilidae
Exons: 2
Source: RefSeq, a predicted model, not a curated record
AAUCAUAUUUAACUUUUAUCGUUUGUUAAAAUUAAAUUUCCCUAACAUUGCAAAAGAUUGGGCCCUUGGAGGUAGACUCCCCUUACAUUAUCAGACGUACAAAUUCAGCGUAUCAAUUUGGGGUAACAAUGCGUAAGGGUUAAAGAAAUGAGCAUCUACGGCUACAAAGAAGUUAUUCACUGGAAUAAUGACAACAAUUUGGAGAGAAUACAAGAAUCUAGAAUAACUUUUUACAGACACUAGAAAACGAGCGUCGACGGAUUUCUCUUGGUUGACUACAAUGGAAUAGCGAAACGGGAAAACGCACGUUAAUAGUCGUCACCGGUAACACCUAGAUCUGAAUUCAACCCCUACAGCUCCAGAGAAACCAUCGAUUGGCUAGACAAAUAAACCGCUACAGCCAUCAAAAAUACCAAAAUGCUGAGGAACGUCAACAAAUCAAAACUGGCUUAGAAAAUCCUGUUUUACAUAUACCAGAACAUAUUGUCGUUGUAAUAUCCAGAUAAAGCAGCCAGCGCACCUGUUACAGCUAUGCCAAUAUUUCAAACAACAAUAUGUGCACUGUUUUCAACAUUUCAGGCAACAACAACCGAUACAUCGGCACUUACCAACACGCAUUUCUUUAAUGCAACCUUCUUUGAAUAUUUAUGUAAUAUAUUUCCCCUAAUUUAUUAAUUAAGACUCGUACAUUUUAUGUAUAUAAGAAGUUAACAUGCACAUACAAUAAUUAAUACCUAAAUCGGAUGAUAUUUAAAAAUAACAUAACGAAAAUCGUUUGUUUAAAAAUACUUAUCUAAGUACUAAAACGGAACAUUAUAUCCUCACUUUUACAGAAACCAGAGCCUGCUCCGGGCAUUCACAACAUUAGAAUAUGUAAACAUUAUGUGAUCAUUCUUUUAAUGUAUUGAUGUAUGUUUCUAUGUAUGAUUGGCGGAGCAAUCUCCUUUAAUAAAAGGGAAAGCGAGUAACUAAAGCGAGGUAGAGUCCGUUCCAAAAUUUUGUUUUCAAAUCUAACCCUAAAAGUUAUCCAAAAUUGACUUAAGCUGUAAUUUUGCUAUUCUUUAUAUGUCUCCUUAUGUCACAAGGCUAUUGUAAGAUAAAUAAUUUAAUUAAAAUUUUACAAAUUGAAGCUUUUUUUUAUAUAUCCGAGGAAAAUUUAAAAAGAUUGUUACCCCAGCCAGAAAUUUCAAUCUUCAAUGUUGGAUCCUUUUUUGAUUUAUUCAUCGUUUAUUAGGUUAACAUUUUCCUAACAAUGUGGAAGAUAAGGUGAUUCAAGGUGGGAUUUCUCAAAUAGUAUUAGAUAAUCUAAAAUGUGCCUAUAAUAACUUCAAGCGAGCGCACAAAAACGCGAAAAACUUGCAUGAAUCUAAAUUAAAAGUCUUAUCAUGAUGCCUAUUUUAAAAAGGUAUGGAACAUAGAAGAAAUGUUAUGUGUAUAUUGGACCCCCAUGCAAUUUUCUGUUUUGAUAAUCAUAUCCCUUUAGGCUAGUUUUGUUCUGCGGUAAAAUGAUUUAUAAAUUAAACCUUAAACGGGAUGACUUUUAAAAAUAACAUGACGAUAAUCGUUUGUUUAGAAAAUAGUCAAUUUGUUUUGUAUUCUUUUGUAUUUUUGAUAGAAAGUUUGAAAUUUAAAACUAAUAGGUGUCAGUCGAUCCCGACCUGCCUCAUCACAAGUAGCAAUGGAAGAUUGAUUUGUUCUCUGUCAAUCUCGAACGACUAAUACAAUCGACAUUUGUUUUUUGGAAUGAAGUAUAUACACAUUAUCAAUGAGUGCAUUAUUUUCUAAUAUAUUUCUACUCAAAGAAUUCUGAUCCCCAAAAUCACAGGGUGCCACAAACUUUUGAUAGUUUUCAUCCCACUUUGUAUUAGCGUGGUUACUACAAAUGACAAUGUCGAUUUCUAGUCAAAUGUUGAGUAUGUGUUAUUUGUUUUAUGUUGGUACAUUAUUGUGUCUGUUUGUAUGAAAUUAGAAGCAAGUAACAUA